UACAGAGGUCCCAAGCGUUGUUCGGAUUCACUGGGCGUAAAGGGUGCGUAGGUGGCUACUGAAAGUUUGAUGUGAAAUCUCCGGGCUUAACCCGGAAAAUGCAUUGAAUACUGCAGAGCUGGAGGGUUGGAGGGGGGACUGGAAUUCUCGGUGUAGCAGUGAAAUGCGUAGAUAUCGAGAGGAACACCAGUGGCGAAGGCGAGUCCCUGGACAACACCUGACACUGAGGCACGAAAGCUAGGGGAGCAAACAGG
Molecule: ribosomal RNA, 254 nt
Filed under: uncultured bacterium
Lineage: Bacteria
Description: partial 16S ribosomal RNA
Rfam family: Bacterial small subunit ribosomal RNA
Source: RNAcentral